This 119-nucleotide ribosomal RNA is filed under the name Xenopus tropicalis (tropical clawed frog). The record is from RNAcentral. Lineage: Eukaryota; Metazoa; Chordata; Amphibia; Anura; Pipidae.
GCCUACGGCCGUACCACCCUGAAAGCGCCCGAUCUCGUCUGAUCUCGGAAGCUAAGCAGGGACGGGCUUGGUUAGUACCUGGAUGGGAGACCGCCUGGGAAUACCAGGUGUUGUAGGCU